UAUAGGUUAUCGAAAUCAAUACGUCGCCAUUUUGACUUGGUUUGGAAAAGAAAGCAAGCACCUGUCGGCGACCGAAAUUCAUUCUAGCUUUAUAUGAUUUAAUGUUUGUUUUACCUGGUAUAGCAGACUCAAAAAGUGAGAGAUUUCGGUAUUUAUAGGGUGUAAAGGUGAUUAUAAUAGCAUGCUUAUAUCCGUUGUCAAUAUAGAGUAUUUACAAAUUUAUGCACACAACUGUCAAAAAUAAUUAUGAUUCAACUGCUGAAUUUGUAGCAUAAGUUUCUGCGUUAACAAUAAUUUUAACAAUCUCAAAAUAUGCACUUUAUUGCAUAGACGUGAAAGACUAAAGCCAUCAACCAUUUAUACAUGAUAUUACAUGAACAUCUGGGUGGGGCUUUAAAUAUAGACUGGUAAUCAAAUAUGCACCUGAAUAAUCUAUUAAGAGAUAGACAUAUCAAAAAUUGUAGUUUAAAUAAGGAAUAAAUAUGUAAUCUGAUAAUUGAACAGAGAUCUAAGUCAAGCCUCAGCUGACAUUGUCUGACAGGUAUAUAUGACAUAAACAACAUUGUCAUAAUAUUUUGAAAUGUCACACAAAUAAUUUCAUAGUGUAAACAUGUUCCACAUGAUGUUAAUAUUUCUAUUUUUAUCAAAUUUGACAAAUGGGUUUAUCACUAGCUAUUUUAUAUGUGGAAACCUGUCAAAUUGGGAAUAAUUCCCCAAAGAGAAACUAUCCCUCAAACAUAUUUUUUUCAAAUAACGAAUAAGGAAUACUUUCUAGUGUUAUUUUUUUUUUAAUACACAUUUUUACCUUCCAAAAAAUGUACUGUAUAUAUAGCUUCCACUUGACUAACUAACAUGUCACAAUCCUAUAAAAACUUGGAAAAAUUGACAAUUUCAAUGCUUUAAAAACAUAAUAAAUUCCAAAUGCAAUUAUGGAUCUUUGAAAUUUUCUUAAAUAUGUGCCAUUUCAAGGUAAUACUUGACUAAGAUAGUUAGAUUUUAGCACCAUCUAAUGAAUACUCAACUGAAGGAAUAGUUCCUGUUUGUUCCCAACCUGGUGUACGUAUGUAUGUCAGUAAAAUUAGAAAAAUCAAAAGUAAAAUGUGUUCCAAAUUCACAAAUUUGAACAGAAAUAUUCUUGGAGUAGUAAAUGUUUCAAAUACAAUCUACCUCUAAGGUAAAUGACACAAGAGUUAAGACCAACAAAUAUUGUUGCACUCAUGACUAGAAAUAGAAAUAAAAUUUAAAUACAAAUCACUAAAGGAGUAUAAUUGCUACUUAAAGUGAUAACAAGGUAUUUAUGAAAAAUCAUUUGUUCAUGGAUAUAUCUGAUCCCAUUUGGAAAUCACAAUUUCGAAGUUUAAUGCAUUUUGUGUAAUGUUUUCUCACGUUUCUUUUACAUUAGCGAAUAAUAAUCUUGACAACGUAUUUCCUAAAGUUGUCCUAUAUAUAUUGUAUACUGUUUCAGUAUUUUCUUUUUGUGGUAAAAACAACGAAUUUCCCUCAAAUUUUUCAAUUUUGAAAAAGCAAAUGUUAAGAAUGUUUAUUAUCCCAACAGUCAUGCACUCCACAACAAUAAUUGGGACAAAGGGGAGACAAUUCAAAACUAUUUACCACCAUCACUGUGAAUUAUUUUAGUGUUAGGUCCAUAUGCAUGGAGCUAGCUGACUGUAUGAGUUGUUUCUUUCCUAUGGCGUUGUAUAUAUCCAGUUCUAUGGUAAACCAUUGGAUGGUUAUUACGUACAAAGCUUGUUAUGUUGUUCAACUUUUGAUCUCAAUAUCCAACAUGUCCAACAUGUCCAAUGUAUAAUUUAAAAUACAUGUACUGUUAUUAAUAAAAAAAAAUAAUGUUAUAAGAAGAACCUUUGUUGUUUGUUAAACAAGACUAGUUCUUUAACCAUUGUUAACUGUUAAUAUCUUUUACCAUUAUACAUUGUAAGUUAAAUUGUACUUUGUCCAUAUUCAAUUAUAGGCCUCUAGGAUGUCCCUUUAAUUUACUUGGAUAACAUUAGCUAUAGUAGAUCCUUCAUUAACAGUGAUAGACACAAAGCUGUCAUCUAGCCAGUUCAGCCAACACUUAAACCUCCCUAAAUUCUUGUAUCCAAAGAAUUAGUUAAUAUCAUAUAAUUUUACACUUUACCAUGGAUACUUUAUAUCCAAAGGAGAACAUACAUAAUAUUAAUACAUCCUUAACAGGAAAACUUAUUCAAUUCAAGUCAACCACUAAUUAGUUAGAUUUACAUUUCAGGUAGAGGAUCUAGUCCAAACUGUGUGGUAACAUCUAGAUAGUCUACGUACCGGUAAGUUGUUCACCAUUUUGUGUAGUACUUUCAAUACAUUGUACAUGAAUACAUGUAUGCAUGAAAUGAUGAUCAGAAUGAUCAGGUAUGAUCCAUAAACCAAAGCUUCACAAUCAGGCUAAGGGUGAUCAAAGUUUAUUAAUUAUGUAAAGAGUGAAAAAGGAGCAAGUUCAAUAAAAGAAAGCAUGUGUAUGAAAUAUACACAACAAAUAAUUUGUUUUGAUUUAUUGGCUAUGAAAUAGUGUUUUAGAAAGUUUUGGUUAAUUCAUUUAUUAAAUAUGAUGCAUGCAUGAUAGAAUGAUGAAGACAAAUAGCAUGGUUUGUAAUGGAAAGGUUUUAAUUUCUAUUACCUUAUAUAUAUACUUACAUAGAAAUGUUGAUGUUGAAAGGCAUAAGUUUUGCAAAGAUUUCAUUAAAUGUGCUACAAAACUUGAAUUGAAUAUAUGAAGUUAAAUCAUUUCUGUACCCCACGAUAUAAAGGUCAAACAGUAAAACUCCAUUUACAUGUACUGGCAUAUACUGUAUAAUACUCCUAGCAUGAUACUCUUAAGCACAUAUUUGUAUUUCUUGGCUGCUAUAUAUGGAAGGGAAAGAUUUAAUAUUUGGUCUGCAGAUUGAUAAGUUUGAGUUGAAUUUGACAUCUGGCAUGUACAAAAUUACUCCAUGUUUGCUAUUGGUUUGAAUUUUUGCAACUCUCAUUGUACACGGAAAAUUUUAGUUUAAAUGUCAGAUCAGUUACAUUGUAUGCUCCAGUAUAUGUAUUACCUCAAUCAAUUGCAUGCAGCAAAGCAUGCCCAGAGCAAGUAUGAAUCUUGUUUCAAAACCUUACUAUUUAUAGUCUUCAUGUAUGUUAAUUGCUGCUUAUGGCAAUAAAUUCCUGUUUGUACAGCUUCAAUUAUUAAAUGUAGAUUGCACUAGAGUAAGUUCUGGAAGACAAAAUUAGCUCUUUUUUAUGUCCCAUUUAUGGGCAUUAUGUUUUCUGGUCUGUGCAUCUAUUCGUUCGUCCGUUUGUCUCGCUUCAGGUUAAAGUUUUUGGUCUCCGGGUAGUUUUUGAUGAAGUUGAAGUCCGAUCAACUUGAAACUUUAAAAACAUGUUCCCUAUGAUAUGAUUUUUCCAAUUUUAAUGCCAAAUAAGGGAUUUUAUCCCAUUUUCACAGUCCACUGAACAUAGAAAAUGAUAGUGUGGAUGGGGCAUCCGUGUACUUGGGACACAUUCUUGUUUUAUUAAGUAUUAAAGCUGAAAAAUAUUUGCUCUAACUUUUAAUGUAAGUGUGAGAAGCAGCAAGUAAGAAUGUAACAAGCAUUUACAAUAUUUUACCCUUCUGAGGAUAAAACCAGCAACUUCCUGCAUUUGAAUCAAGCAUGCUGAUAUAUAUAUAUAUAUAACUUCUUUAAUUAUUUUGUUUUCUCCCAAUUUUAAAACUUCAGUAAAUUCUGGUGUUGAACAUUAUCUUCCAAAAAACUUUUUAUGGGUUCUGUAUUUGGUUACAGUUUUGCUUCAUUGAUAACAUAAAGUUAAAUCUGACCUCGGUAAAUAGUUGGAUAUGAAAUAUACGAAAAUGAUAAUAUUAAUUUAUGAUCACUGGAGGUUUCGUGUGAAUUUAAAUUGUUUUCUUAAAAGACAAAGAUGAAAACCAAAUUUACUGAAGUUUACUAUUUUUUUUGUUGUAAUUUUUCUGUUUGCAUGAUAUUUGAUGUUGUUUUUCCUCCUGUACAGGUUUUGGUACUGUGACUCCUAACACCAUGCCUUUCCAAUCAAAGAAUGAUCAAAUUAUCAAGCUGAAAAAUCAACGGGAACAAAUGACAUACCACCUCAAAAUUGAUAGAGUCAGAAUGACAAAAACUUUACCGGAAAUGAUACAGUUUUGUAAUCAAAGAAUGGCAGAUGACCCAUUGAUUCAUCCUGUUAAAGAUAAUCCUUUCAAGGACAAGAAAACGUGUACAAUAUUAUAAUGUUAAUGAAUUGACAAAUGUAUCAACAUUUAAAUGGUGCACAUGGUAGACAUUGUGAAUUUUGUUGUCAUGGAAGAUCUGAUAGGGUUUUACCUGCCCUUUAUAAUAUUUCACAGUUACUUUUUAUAAUGUACUAAAUAGCUUUUAUAUUUAUUCACCAUACUGUCAAUACAGUUAUCAUUGUCAUAUCAAAAAGACAUUCAGAUUAAUAAAAAAAAAACUACAGUUAAUUGGAAUAAAAAUUGUGAAAUUUUUGUAAUUUCUGACAGUUAAAAGUUUAUAUAUAGCUAUAGUCACAAGGCCAAAAAAUUCAAACUAUAGUGAAUAAAUAAAAAGUUACUUCUAAACAUGUGUUUCAACAUGUUCAGUCUUAAACUUCGAGAGUUAUGUUUCAUUAACUUUUCAAUUUAAAAUUAGAGUCUACAUGGAUUUAGUUUGCAUGUUCAUGCUUGUUGUAAUUGUAUGAUUUAAUUUUACAUAUCUUUCCCACAGAUGAUCACCAGUAAUAUCUAUAAGAUGAAAUAUGUGUUCCUGAAAUGAUAUCGAGAAUUUCAUAAUGCAUUUCUAUGAUUCAUUAAUACUUCAGGGAUUUAAAAUAAAAAAAAUAUCAAUAAGAUGUCUGCAAAGUAUUCACUAAUUUUGUCAAGAAACACAACAGUAUUUAUGAUUUCAUUUGAAGAAUAUACCUUGAAGAGCAAUUUUGUAGUAUUUUAUCAAUUGAUGUUUUCCUAAAAAUUUACCCUCCCCAAAAAAUAUAUACUAAUUAAAAAUAAGAAUUUGUGGAAACUUUUCGCGAAAAGUCUUAUGAUUUUGACAAGAAAUUAUAAUUUGAUAUAGUUUGAAAAAUUUCUAUGACAAUUGUAUUGCAAGAAAGUUGAAAAGUCUCCAUAAUAUUAAAAGCCAUCUUUCUAAAAUUGAAAAUGAACACAUAUUCCAUCUUAGAUACUAGUAUAUUACAAAUUAAAUUUAUAAUACCAGAAUAUAUUUGCAUGUAAGGAAAUCACAUACAAUUGCAUAACUACCCAGACACAUUCCCUCUAUUCCCA
Molecule: long non-coding RNA, 5296 nt
Filed under: Mytilus galloprovincialis (Mediterranean mussel)
Lineage: Eukaryota; Metazoa; Mollusca; Bivalvia; Mytilida; Mytilidae
Source: RNAcentral